AGCUCGCUCGGCUGGUUGUUAGAUGUUUCUGCUGUUCAUCACAACCUCCUUGAGUGAGUUGA
RNAcentral lists this microRNA precursor (62 nucleotides) under Ascaris suum (pig roundworm). RNAcentral describes it as "Asu-Mir-67_pre stem-loop". The record is from RNAcentral. Lineage: Eukaryota; Metazoa; Nematoda; Chromadorea; Rhabditida; Ascarididae.